RNAcentral lists this ribosomal RNA (450 nucleotides) under uncultured bacterium. RNAcentral's name for it is "bacterial SSU rRNA". It matches the Rfam family "Bacterial small subunit ribosomal RNA", at positions 45 to 494 of the family's 1533-position model. The record is from RNAcentral.
GGCCUAACACAUGCAAGUCGAGGGGUAGAGUAGGCUUGCUUACUUGAGACCGGCGCACGGGUGCGUAACGCGUAUGCAACCUACCUUUAUCUGGGGGAUAGCCCGGAGAAAUCCGGAUUAAUACCGCAUAAAAUCACAGAAUGGCAUUAUUCAAUGAUCAAACAUUUAUGGGAAGAAGAUGGGCAUGCGUGUCAUUAGCUAGUUGGCGGGGUAACGGCCCACCAAGGCGACGAUGACUAGGGGAUCUGAGAGGAUGGCCCCCCACACUGGUACUGAGACACGGACCAGACUCCUACGGGAGGCAGCAGUAAGGAAUAUUGGUCAAUGGAGGCAACUCUGAACCAGCCAUGCCGCGUGCAGGAAGACUGCCCUAUGGGUUGUAAACUGCUUUUAUCCGGGAAUAAACCUUUCUACGUGUAGGAAGCUGAAUGUACCGGAAGAAUAAGGAUC